Molecule: ribosomal RNA, 422 nt
Filed under: uncultured bacterium
Lineage: Bacteria
Description: partial 16S ribosomal RNA
Rfam family: Bacterial small subunit ribosomal RNA
Source: RNAcentral
AAUUUUGGACAAUGGGCGAAAGCCUGAUCCAGCAAUGCCGCGUGCAGGAUGAAGGCCNNNGGGUUNUCAACUGCUUUUGUACGNAACNAAAAGCUUUGGGUUAAUACCCUGGAGUCAUGACGGUACCGUAAGAAUAAGCACCUGCUAACUACGUGCCAGCAGCCGCGGUAAUACGUAGGGUGCAAGCGUUAAUCGGAAUUACUGGGCGUAAAGCGUGCGCAGGCGGUUUUGUAAGACAGAGGUGAAAUCCCCGGGCUCAACCUGGGAACUGCCUUUGUGACUGCAAGGCUAGAGUACGGCAGAGGGGGGUGGAAUUCCGCGUGUAGCAGUGAAAUGCGUAGAUAUGCGGAGGAACACCGAUGGCGAAGGCAACCCCCUGGGCCUGUACUGACGCUCAGACACGAAAGCGUGGGGAGCGAACA